Molecule: ribosomal RNA, 1359 nt
Filed under: uncultured bacterium
Lineage: Bacteria
Description: 16S ribosomal RNA
Rfam family: Bacterial small subunit ribosomal RNA
Source: RNAcentral
GAGUUUGACCCUGGCUCAUGAUGAACGCUAGCUACAGGCUUAACACAUGCAAGUCGAGGGGCAGCAUUUUAGUUUGCUUGCAAACUAAAGAUGGCGACCGGCGCACGGGUGAGUAACACGUAUCCAACCUGCCGAUAACUCGGGGAUAGCCUUUCGAAAGAAAGAUUAAUAUCCGAUAGUAUAUUAAAACCGCAUGGUUUUACUAUUAAAGAAUUUCGGUUAUCGAUGGGGAUGCGUUCCAUUAGUUUGUUGGCGGGGUAACGGCCCACCAAGACUACGAUGGAUAGGGGUUCUGAGAGGAAGGUCCCCCACAUUGGAACUGAGACACGGUCCAAACUCCUACGGGAGGCAGCAGUGAGGAAUAUUGGUCAAUGGACGAGAGUCUGAACCAGCCAAGUAGCGUGAAGGAUGACUGCCCUAUGGGUUGUAAACUUCUUUUAUAUGGGAAUAAAGUAUUCCACGUGUGGGAUUUUGUAUGUACCAUAUGAAUAAGGAUCGGCUAACUCCGUGCCAGCAGCCGCGGUAAUACGGAGGAUCCGAGCGUUAUCCGGAUUUAUUGGGUUUAAAGGGAGCGUAGGUGGAUUGUUAAGUCAGUUGUGAAAGUUUGCGGCUCAACCGUAAAAUUGCAGUUGAAACUGGCAGUCUUGAGUACAGUAGAGGUGGGCGGAAUUCGUGGUGUAGCGGUGAAAUGCUUAGAUAUCACGAAGAACUCCGAUUGCGAAGGCAGCUCACUAGACUGCAACUGACACUGAUGCUCGAAAGUGUGGGUAUCANACAGGAUUAGAUACCCUGGUAGUCCACACAGUAAACGAUGAAUACUCGCUGUUUGCGAUAUACAGUAAGCGGCCAAGCGAAAGCAUUAAGUAUUCCACCUGGGGAGUACGCCGGCAACGGUGAAACUCAAAGGAAUUGACGGGGGCCCGCACAAGCGGAGGAACAUGUGGUUUAAUUCGAUGAUACGCGAGGAACCUUACCCGGGCUUAAAUUGCAUUUGAAUAAUCUGGAAACAGGUUAGCCGCAAGGCAAAUGUGAAGGUGCUGCAUGGUUGUCGUCAGCUCGUGCCGUGAGGUGUCGGCUUAAGUGCCAUAACGAGCGCAACCCUUAUCUUUAGUUACUAACAGGUCAUGCUGAGGACUCUAGAGAGACUGCCGUCGUAAGAUGUGAGGAAGGUGGGGAUGACGUCAAAUCAGCACGGCCCUUACGUCCGGGGCUACACACGUGUUACAAUGGGGGGUACAGAAGGCAGCUACCUGGUGACAGGAUGCUAAUCCCACCAACCUCUCUCAAAUCUGCUCGAGGUCUGCAACCCGACUUCGUGAAGCUGGAUUCGCUAGUAAUCGCGCAUCAGCCAUGGCGCGG